AGCAGUCGCCGCGGUAAUACGUAGGUCCCGGGCGUUGUCCGGAUUUAUUGGGCGUAAAGGGAGCGCAGGCGGUUUAGUAAGUCUGAAGUUAAAGGCAUUGGCUCAACCAAUGUAUGCUUUGGAAACUGUUAGACUUGAGUGCAGAAGGGGAGAGUGGAAUUCCAUGUGUAGCGGUGAAAUGCGUAGAUAUCAUGACGAACUCCGAUUGCGAAGGCAGCGUACGGGAGUGUUACUGACGCUUAAGCUCGAGGUGCGGGUAUCGAACAGGAUUAGAGACCCCCGUAGUCCCUGUCUCUUAUACAC
Molecule: ribosomal RNA, 303 nt
Filed under: uncultured bacterium
Lineage: Bacteria
Description: partial 16S ribosomal RNA
Rfam family: Bacterial small subunit ribosomal RNA
Source: RNAcentral